RNAcentral lists this ribosomal RNA (425 nucleotides) under uncultured prokaryote. Its description in RNAcentral is "bacterial SSU rRNA". It matches the Rfam family "Bacterial small subunit ribosomal RNA", at positions 355 to 796 of the family's 1533-position model. The record is from RNAcentral.
UGGGGAAUUUUCCGCAAUGGGCGAAAGCCUGACGGAGCAAUACCGCGUGAGGGAGGAAGGCUUUUGGGUUGUAAACCUCUUUUCUCAAGGAAGAACAAUGACGGUACUUGAGGAAUAAGCAUCGGCUAACUCCGUGCCAGCAGCCGCGGUAAUACGGAGGAUGCAAGCGUUAUCCGGAAUUAUUGGGCGUAAAGCGUCCGUAGGUGGCCCGACAAGUCUGCUGUUAAAGACCAAAGCUUAACUUUGGCAAAGCAGUGGAAACUGUAGAGCUAGAGACCGGUAGGGGUAGAGGGAAUUUCCAGUGUAGCGGUGAAAUGCGUAGAGAUUGGAAAGAACACCAGUGGCGAAAGCGCUCUACUGGACCGGAACUGACACUGAGGGACGAAAGCUAGGGUAGCGAAAGGGAUUAGAUACCCCCGUAGUCC